This 353-nucleotide unclassified non-coding RNA is filed under the name soil metagenome. RNAcentral describes it as "partial contains 5.8S ribosomal RNA, internal transcribed spacer 2, and large subunit ribosomal RNA". The stretch from base 2 to 120 matches the Rfam family "5.8S ribosomal RNA", at positions 36 to 154 of the family's 154-position model. The record is from RNAcentral.
UAUGAAGAACGUAGUGAAAUGCGAUAAGUAAUGUGAAUUGCAGAAUUCAGUGAAUCAUCGAAUCUUUGAACGCACAUUGCGCCCGCCAGUAUUCUGGCGGGCAUGCCUGUUCGAGCGUCAUUACAACCCUCAGGCCCCCGGGCCUGGCGUUGGGGAUCGGCGGAAGCCCCCUGCGGGCACAACGCCGUCCCCCAAAUACAGUGGCGGUCCCGCCGCAGCUUCCAUUGCGUAGUAGCUAACACCUCGCAACUGGAGAGCGGCGCGGCCACGCCGUAAAACACCCAACUUCUGAAUGUUGACCUCGAAUCAGGUAGGAAUACCCGCUGAACUUAAGCAUAUCAAUAAGCGGAGGA